Molecule: transfer RNA, 49 nt
Filed under: Pelargonium vinaceum
Lineage: Eukaryota; Viridiplantae; Streptophyta; Magnoliopsida; Geraniales; Geraniaceae
Description: partial tRNA-Leu
Source: RNAcentral
AAUCCGCUCGACGUUAAAAGUCGUGAGGGUUCAAGUCCCUCUAUCCCCA